Molecule: ribosomal RNA, 325 nt
Filed under: uncultured eukaryote
Lineage: Eukaryota
Description: partial 18S ribosomal RNA
Rfam family: Eukaryotic small subunit ribosomal RNA
Source: RNAcentral
CCCUUAGAUGUCCUGGGCCGCACGCGCGUUACACUGAUGCAUUCAACGAGCUUAUAACCUUGGCCGAGAGGCCUGGGCAAUCUUGUUAACGUGCAUCGUGAUAGGGAUAGAUUAUUGAAAUUAUUAAUCUUGAACGAGGAAUUCCUAGUAAACGCAGAUCAUCAAUCUGCAUUGAUUACGUCCCUGCCCUUUGUACACACCGCCCGUCGCACCUACCGAUUGGAUGGUCCGGUGAAGCCUCGGGAUUGUGGCGGUUGCCUUUAUUGGUGGCCGCCGCGAGAACUUGUCUAAACCUUAUCAUCUAGAGGAAGGUGAAGUCGUANCA